Molecule: unclassified non-coding RNA, 257 nt
Filed under: Hevea brasiliensis (rubber tree)
Lineage: Eukaryota; Viridiplantae; Streptophyta; Magnoliopsida; Malpighiales; Euphorbiaceae
Source: RNAcentral
GCGCUGCUGUUGCUAUUGCUUCUGGUGAUUCUCUGGCAUUUUAUUUCUUGCUUUAUCUUGGUGCAUACUAUAGGUUAAUGAAAUUAAUAUCAAUUGAAAAUUUAUAUUAUCAUCUUCAUAUCUGCAUAAUUGGUUAAGACAAGUAAGAAUCAAAAGUUUAGACAUAACAUGUCCAUUGUCAUUGUUGGCACCUUGGCUUUAUUCCAGCAUGUGAAGAGGAUUCAGUGGACUACAUUGGAAGAAGGAAAAAAAAAAAA